Molecule: long non-coding RNA, 969 nt
Organism: Phacochoerus africanus (Common warthog)
Lineage: Eukaryota; Metazoa; Chordata; Mammalia; Artiodactyla; Suidae
Exons: 3
Source: RefSeq, a predicted model, not a curated record
CGUAGCGGCCCGACCUCUGCCGCAGGAUGUUCAAGAAGAAAACGAACAUGUUCUUCUCCAGGAAGAAGCUGCAGGAGGAACGGGACAGCGUCAGCGGUCGGCUUCUGAGGGGGCCGCGCCUCCACACCGGCCUCUGCGGGCGCCCCCCACGCGUGCGCCCCCCACUAAGGCCUUGGCUUCCGCGCUCCCCGGCUCCCGCGGCGCCACCCUCCACCCAGCAAGACACCGUCCAGCUGCUCCUCCGGGAAGGGGAGAUGCUGACUCCGGGAAGCAGGGCACCGCUAGCCUUCGGCGGGGUGGCAGAGGUCUCCCCGACGCAAUGACUGCCCCAUGCCCUAUCUACGCCCACGGACCCCACUCGCAGCAUUUUCCACCCACUAUGUACAAACUUCGUCUUCCUCACGAAGCCUCUUUGCUUUGCUUUCAGUUUUGAGGGUUCUCCACCAACUUGGGAACCAGAAUAAUUUCCUACAAAGGGACAAGACGAUGAACAGUAACAAGGGUUUGGGUUCCUAAAACGCUCCCUGGAGGCAGGAAGACGGGCCCAGCUCUGGCUCAGUGCUGCAUCCCUCCUGUCUGAAUCACGACAGGGCUGUGUGACUCACUGACUCCCAAUGGGCUCACUGCAGCCCAGUGACCAACCUGGGAACUUGCUGAAAUGGCUGUACCUACAUCUUGCCCAGGGAUGGGUUCCGUGGGUCUGGUGGGAAAUCCAGGAGCCUGGAUUUCUGAGACUCCCUAGGGGAGUGAGGGGCUCCUUGGAAGAGUGGCUGCUUCUUGGGCUGGAGCACCUUAUGGCAGCAGAAAGUUAGGACAUGCUCAAAACCCACAAGGAUGGGCCUGUGUCAAAGGGACCCAGGAAGCAACCUGAAAGAGCUCCCAAUGCCUUCAAAGCUGCAACAACGCCUGCCACAGAUAACGCAGUAUAGGAUUACGAUCCAAACUGUAAAAUAAAUACCCACGAGUCGA